AGAGUUUGAUCAUGGCUCAGGACGAACGCUGGCGGCGUGGAUUAGGCAUGCAAGUCGAACGGUAUAAACCUUUCGGGGUUUAGAGAGUGGCGAACGGGUGAGUAACACGUAGGUAAUCUACCCUCAAAACGGGGACAACCCAGGGAAACUUGGGCUAAUACCGGAUGCGUGCAAGCAAUGUUUGGGUUGUUAAUGCUAUUCACGGAAGUGAGUAGUGUUAAUGGUUAAGAGCAUUAUUUGCAUAAAAGGUGGCAUAUGCUGCCGUUUGAGGAUGAGCCUGCGUCCUAUUAGUUAGUUGGUGAGGUAAUGGCUUACCAAGGCGAUGAUAGGUAGGCGGCCUUAACGGGUGGUCGCCCACACUGGGAUUGAGAGACGGCCCAGGCUCCUACGGGAGGCAGCAGUCGAGAAUAGUCUACAAUGGACGGAAGUCUGAUAGUGCGACGCCGCGUGAACGAAGAAUCCCUUCGGGGUGUAAAGUUCUUUUAUACGUGAGCAGUGCCCUUUAUAUGAAUAGUAUAGAGGGAGGGAUUUAAGCGUAUGAAUAAGCAACGGCUAACUCCGUGCCAGCAGCCGCGGUAACACGGGGGUUGCAAGCGUUGUCCGGAAUUACUAGGCGUAAGGUGCAGGUAGGCGGAUAGAUAAGUUUAAGGUUAAAGGCUACGGCUUACCCGUAGUAAGGCGUUAGAUACUGUUUAUCUGGAAUGCGGUUGAGGGAGACAGAAUUCCUGGUGUAGCGGUGGAAUGCGCAGAGAUCAGGAGGAAUACCGAAGGCGAAGGCAGUCUUCUAAGCCGAUAUUGACGCUAAACUGCGAAGGUGUGGGGAUCAAACAGGAUUAGAUACCCUGGUAGUCCACACAGUAAACGAUAAUCACUAGGUGUUGGGUUCGUAUAGGACUCGGUGCCGGAGCUAACGCGAUAAGUGAUUCGCCUGGGGAGUACGAUCGCAAGGUUGAAACUCAAAUGAAUCGACGG
Molecule: ribosomal RNA, 972 nt
Filed under: bacterium enrichment culture clone HB_122
Lineage: Bacteria
Description: bacterial SSU rRNA
Rfam family: Bacterial small subunit ribosomal RNA
Source: RNAcentral